RNAcentral lists this small nucleolar RNA (92 nucleotides) under Erythranthe guttata (spotted monkey flower). RNAcentral's name for it is "Mimulus guttatus (spotted monkey flower) Small nucleolar RNA R44/J54/Z268 family". It matches the Rfam family "Small nucleolar RNA R44/J54/Z268 family". From Rfam's summary of the family: R44, J54 and Z268 are members of the C/D class of snoRNA which contain the C (UGAUGA) and D (CUGA) box motifs. The record is from Rfam by way of RNAcentral. Lineage: Eukaryota; Viridiplantae; Streptophyta; Magnoliopsida; Lamiales; Phrymaceae.
UUAGCAGAUGAUGAUAAAACAGACAGGGACAUCAGAACUCCUUUAAUGGUGUAAAUGAUGACUUAGUCUAAUGGGAAUCUCUCAGAUGCUAU